Molecule: non-coding RNA, 102 nt
Filed under: Sporosarcina psychrophila
Lineage: Bacteria; Bacillati; Bacillota; Bacilli; Caryophanales; Caryophanaceae
Description: TPP sequence
Rfam family: TPP riboswitch aptamer (THI element)
About the family: Vitamin B(1) in its active form thiamin pyrophosphate (TPP) is an essential coenzyme that is synthesised by coupling of pyrimidine and thiazole moieties in bacteria. The previously detected thiamin-regulatory element, thi box was extended, resulting in a new, highly conserved RNA secondary structure, the THI element, which is widely distributed in eubacteria and also occurs in some archaea.
Source: RNAcentral
UGGAACCACAGGGGGAGCCUAUUUGGCUGAGAUUGGACAGCACGUCCUGACCCUUAGAACCUGUAAGAUUAUUCUUGCGUAGGAAUGUGGAUGGAAAUUGAC